Molecule: long non-coding RNA, 2116 nt
Filed under: Homo sapiens (human)
Lineage: Eukaryota; Metazoa; Chordata; Mammalia; Primates; Hominidae
Description: non-protein coding lnc-RSBN1-3:3
Source: RNAcentral
CUGAGAGAUACUUAGAGAUUUCCACCUGAAAUUAAAAUAUUUUGUCUUUGUUGCUGCUGCUGAAAAUACAUGACUUUUUAAGUCUAUUUUUACAAGUUUUAAGUGGUUUUUGCUGUCACAUUUGAAAGCUAUUGGUUUAUAAUUAAAAUUGUUAUAACCAGCCGCUUUAUUAAACUCUUUGUCAUCAAUUCUAAUUGUUUUUCAGUGCUUGUAUUAGAUUUUAUAAUGAUACAACCAUAUGGUUGGCAAAUAAUGACAAUUUGGUUUUCUCCUUUCACAUACAUUUCAUUUACUUUCACCCAAUCAGUCAACAUUUCAGAGUAACGUUAAAUGAUAACAGUGAGUGGUCAUCCUUGUUUUGUUCCUGAUUCAGAAUAUCUUCACUAACAUAUAAUAUGUAUUGAUUUUACUUAUAUAUUCUUUAGCAUGUUAAGGAAAUAUUUUUAUUCUUAAUAGUUUAGAAAAUAUGGGCAUUUGAGAUGAAUUACAAAUCAAGAACAAAUGUAUGUAUGUGUUUUUUUUUAAUACAAUGCUUUUUUUUUUUACUGUUACCUGGUUGCCACCCAGGGAAGCUCCCCGAAGCUUUGGUAUGUAGAGUUUUUAUUGAGACUUUAUUAUUUAGGCCUGAUUGAUGGAAUCAUUGACAUGUGGUUGAAUGCAGUCUCCAUCACCCUUCAGUCCUCAGAGGUCUCCUAAUAUGGGUGCUAUCAAAUACUAGGUAUUUUUCGUUCUGUCCCAUGAACCAUCCCCACAUCCCCUACUCCACCCCCACUACCCUUCUCAGCCUCAGAGCCUUCUACUCUCUGUCUCCUUGAGUUCAGUCAUUUUAAUUUUUAGCUCCCACAAAUAAGUGAGAACAUGUGAAGUUUGUCUUUCUGUGCUUGGUUUAUAUCACUUAACAUAAUGUCCUCUAGUUCCAUCCAUGUUGUUGCAAAUGACAGAAUCUUAUUCUUUUUUAUGGCUGGAUAGUACUCCAUUGUGUAUAUGUACCACAUUUUCUUUAUCCGUUCAUCUGCUGAUGGACACUUAGGUUGCUUCCAAAUCUUGGCUGUUGUGAACAGUGCUACAACAAAUGUGGGAGUGACUCUUUGAUAUACUGAUUUCCUUUCUUUCUUUUGUUCUUUUUGUUUGUUUUGAGACAGAGUCUCAUUCUGUCACCCAGGGACUGGAGUGCAGUGGCAUAAUCUCAGCUCACUGCAACCCUUUGCCUCCUGGGUACAAGUGAUUCUCCUGCCUCAGCCUCCCAAGUAGCUGGGAUUACAGGUGCCUGCCACCAUGCCUGGCAAAUUUUUAUAUUUUUAGUAGAGACAGGGUUUCACCAUGUUGCCCAGGCUGGUCUUGAACUUCUCACCUCAAGUGAUCUGCUCACUUUGGCCUCUCAAAGUGCUGGGAUUACAGGCAUGAGCCACAGUGCCCAACCACCAUUUUCCUUUCUUUUGGGCAUAUACCCAGCAGUGAGAUUGCUGGAUCAUAUGGUAGUUCUAUUUUUCUUUAUUUGAGGAACCUCCAAGCUGUUCUUCAUAGUGGUUGUACUACUUUAUAUUUCCACCAACAGUGUACGGGGGUUCCCUUUUCUCCAUAUCCUCUCCAGCAUUUAUUAUUGCCUAUCUUUUGGAUAAAAGCCAUUUUAACGGGAGUGAGAUGAUAUCUCAUUGUGGUUUUGAUUUGCAUGGUUAUUUCCUAUAGAGUUGUUUGAGCUCCUUAUAUAUUCUGGUUGUUAAUCCCUUGUCAGAUGGAUAAUUUGCAAAGACUUUCUCUCAUUCUGUGAGUUGUCUCUUCUCUUGGGCUGGGAUUACCUGCGUAUGCCACCACACCCAGCUAAUUUUUUUUUUUGAAUUUAGUAGAGAUGGGAUUUCACCAUGUUAAUCAGGCUGAUCUAGAACUCCUGACCUCAGGUGAUCCACCCGCCUCGGUCUCCCAAAGGACUGGGAUUACAGGCGUGAGCCACUGCACCCAGCCGUCUAAACUUUUAAUAAGGAUUUAUUUGGCUUUUCUUUACAUAUUGAAUUCAUGUUAUAUUUUAAUCGAUUAUAUGGUAUAUGUGAGUUUUGGAACUGUUGAAAUGUUCUUAGGUAUAUGCAGUGUUAUUUUCCAAAAGUUAUGUUAUCUUCCCUCA